This 440-nucleotide ribosomal RNA is filed under the name uncultured bacterium. RNAcentral's name for it is "partial 16S ribosomal RNA". It matches the Rfam family "Bacterial small subunit ribosomal RNA", at positions 338 to 795 of the family's 1533-position model. The record is from RNAcentral.
CCUACGGGAGGCAGCAGUGGGGAAUAUUGGACAAUGGGGGAAACCCUGAUCCAGCGACGCCGCGUGAGUGAAGAAGUAUUUCGGUACGUAAAGCUCUAUCAGCAGGAAAGAAAAUGACGGUACCUGACUAAGAAGCCCCGGCUAACUACGUGCCAGCAGCCGCGGUAAUACGUAGGGGGCAAGCGUUAUCCGGAUUUACUGGGUGUAAAGGGAGCGUAGACGGCAGCGCAAGUCUGGAGUGAAAUGCCGGGGGCCAACCCCGGAACUGCGCUGGAAACUGUGAAGCUGGAGUGCAGGAGAGGUAAGCGGAAGUCCUGGUGUAGCGGUGAAAUGCGUAGAUAUCAGGAGGAACACCGGCGGCGAAGGCGGCUUACUGGACUGUAACUGACGUUGAGGCUCGAAGGCGUGGGGAGCAAACAGGAUUAGAUACCCCAGUAGUC